GGUCCGUCAAGGAGCUUUGGGAUUUAACACGGGAGCUUGGGAUCGUUGCGGUGUAGAUGUUAGGGGUUGUGGAAAAAGUCACGAUGGAGAGUCGCCGUGGAAGUGGUGGGAGGAGUUCUUGAGAAUGAAGCUUUGGUUGAAGCUGUGGCAGAGAUGGGGAUGAAAAGAGAGGGAGUGCAGGAGCACAGCCGUUAGCCACCGGCUGCCGACCUAUGGAAUAGAAAAAG
This 227-nucleotide long non-coding RNA is filed under the name Elaeis guineensis (African oil palm). RNAcentral's name for it is "long non-coding RNA (EGUI_LNC000616)". The record is from RNAcentral. Lineage: Eukaryota; Viridiplantae; Streptophyta; Magnoliopsida; Arecales; Arecaceae.